GCACACGCAUAUGUGUCCAGGUGCCUACGCAGGUGCCUGACCCUGGGCAAGUCGCUCCGUCAUGCGGACCUCAGUUUUCUCAUCUGUCCGACGAAGCAGCAUAAUUCACCAGAGCCAAAAGGUGGAAGCAGCCCAACUGUCCAUCAAUGGAUGAAUGACUCAACAAAACGUGGCAUUUCCAUGCAAAUAGAAUAUUAUCCAGCCUCAAAAAGGAAGGAAAUUCUGAUCUCUGCUCCAACAUGGAUGGACCUUGAAGACAUUAUGCUAAAUGAAUCCUGGAUCAAGAAUCUGUCAUUCAGAUUAUUCCAGAGCCCCUGCCCCAGUUCUACUUAUGCCUCCUGGAUGCUGAGCUGACAGGCGUGGUGAGGCUCUGGCAAGCUUCUGCCUUCACACCCAUUCCCCCAAGCUCACUGUCUUACUUUGCUCUUGGGAAUCUUGUCUACAUUUUAACAAACAUCAGUUCACAUAGCAGAUUUGAAGCAAUGAGGGACAGGCUGGGGAGGGGAGAUGUUCUGGGAUGGGAGAUGCUUCUCAUUUACCCUGUGGGUACCUGCCUUUUGGCUGGUCCUGAAACUGUCAGUAUUCAUCGUUACCAUUCAUUGAGCAGCUAUUAUGUGUGGGGCUCUGUACUGUCCUCUGAGGGUAUUAUCCACAUUUUCCAGCUGGAGAAACUGAGAUUCUUGCCUAAAGUCACAGCUUUGGUGAGAUGCAAAACAGGGAUGGAAACCUAGAUUUGUCUGGCUUCAAAGCCUGUGCUCUUACCCAGCAUACUCAACCAUUUAUUGGUGGCCAAUGGUCAUGAGCAGUUACCAGGAUACCCUGUACUUAUUGCUGUGUUCCUGGACUGGUGCUAAGUGCUUUAACUGGAUUCCUACAUUCAAUUGGCCGCUGUUACACUCACAGCUUUGGUGGAGUUAGUCCUCAGAUCUGAGCUGCGUCUUCCCCAUGGGGCUGCAGCCCUCAGAAGGCCUCUUGCUGCCCAGGGCCACAGCGUGACUUCUGUGGGCACUUCGCCCUCAUGAGUCCUACCCCUGGAGAAAAAUAUUAAAAUUUAUACUUUAUGACUACAUUGGCAUAAAAACAAAUGUAAUUCCGGCUGGAUUCAUGAUUGUAUACUCAUUUGUAUUCUAUUCAUUUUUUCUUCUGAUUUUUGAAAGACAACUAAAAUAAAAACAUUUUUGAGGGCCCCUAGAAAUAUUGUGGCUUCUAGGCACUGCACUGUGCCUCAUGGAGAAGUACGCCCUGCGUGCUGGAAGUGAUGGGCAGUCCUAAGAGUCUUGUCCUGGGAACUCCUCUGGACCCAGCAACCUCUGCUGCCACCUGACCUAGAGCCCAACCCCACUCCUUCAGCCGAGCAGCCCUAAGCAUGAUUUUCUGGUCAGACUGCAUCAGCUCCCUCUUCUCCACCAGGACAGUAGGGAUCUACAGCCCAAGAACCAAAGACUUUGGACAUUUUGUUCUACUUGGGAAGUUUGUAAUGUUAUCUUCUGCUGUGGAGCAUAGUGCAAAGAAAUAGGGGGAAGAAAGGUGGGUUUCUUCUGUCUCCACCCCAAAGACCAAGGAUACUUUCUUCCCUGAGGGUUGCCUCUGCAUUGCAAGUUUUUUCUGACCCUUCACUACACAGAUGGACAACUCAGGUGGCCAGAGGACUUCAACUGAAUGGAAUUACACAAUGAUUUGUUGAACAUGUAUUGUGCACCAGGGAGUAUGUGAGGCUAUGUGGUAGGCAUGAGAUGAACAAUGGAAGAUUCUUGCCCCAUGGAAGGUGACCACUGGAAUUAGAAAUCCUAGCAUCACCUAAGGAAAGGCUCAGAUCUUCCCUGGUGGAGGUUGGGGAUCUUCCCGAAGGGACCUUUUGGACCCAGAGCUCUUGUAUCAUUGCCUCUUGGCAAGAGGUUUAGAGACUCCCUUCAUCAUGAAGUUUCACAGACUCCUUCAGCCUUUAUCUUUCCUGAGUUCUAUGGGGAAAAGCUAGGUUAGAUAUGUGGAGUGACUCACCGAGACCUGAGAAGGCAUCUGCAUGAGGCUGCGGGGGUGUCCUUAGAGAAAAGGGAAGCUGCAGUGUGGAGGCUGGGGGAUGCACAAGAUGAUCUCCAGAGUCUCUCAGCCUUCAGAAGCGCAGGCUCUCUGAGGCCACAUUCCUUCCUGGUCUGGCUCAGUGGAGGCUGUGUUUCCCCACUGUUGCUUUUUGCAUGGAUUUGUUCAGCAGUUGAAUGGGCAGAGAAGGAGGAGUCUCUCCCUUCCUGUUCUCACACAGCUCUGCUUCAUGGACACCCACACAGAUUCACUGGAGAGCAAAGCCUACCAGAGUCCCUGUCAGCAGCACUGUUUCUAGAAGCUUCCACAUGAGCAGACAGCAUGGAGUCCUGGGGGCUAAUGAAGCAGCAAUGUCAGCAUGAGCACAGGCAGGGAGAGGCAAGAGGAGCAGAGUAAAGGGGAACGUUCUCUUCAUUCUUCCACCUGCCUGUCCCCCAGCCGACACGUCCCUUCCGUUCCCUGCAAGGCCAUUUCCAGGGAGGCUUACGAAGACAGCAGAUGAUGGUGAUGGAAGGAGUCUGGGUGCUGAGCUGUGCCAUGGACCUGGAGAGAAACUGAGUCCGAGGGAUGUCAACAUGCCAAGUCCAUGGAAAUAUCAGUGGGCUGGAAUUCUAGCUGCCUGAAAGAAGACAUUCCUCACACAAGACCUCACAAUCAUAUCCAUGGAAUUAUAGCACUGGGCUCUCCAGAUGGUGCUACAGGAAGACCUCCAGAAAUUUGACAAUCCUCUAUUCAAGGCCCUACCACAGAGACACACAGGAACGGAACUCAGAAUCACAAACAAAGAAACUUUGAUCCAAGAAAGAAAAUGAUCUUUAAAAAGACCCUCGUUUCAUGCUGGCCGAUGCUGAGAAAAUCUGCUCUGAAGGAUAUUUGGAGACACUGAUUAAAAGAUGGUUGUCCCAGUGGAGGGGGAUUCUUCGUGUUACGUAGAUAGGAAGCACGAUGCAAAAGUGUUGAAGCAGGAGUGUAAAGAAUAAUUAAAACACCUGCCCAAGACCCAAGCAAGGAUAGGAUUUCCCAGACAUUCGUGAGGGAGAAAAUGCCAUGUCCUUUCCUUCUGGUGUCACAUCAGAAUCUGAAGGCUGCUAGAGAAGGGAGAGAAACAUGAAAGUGAGUCCCAUGCUGAUUGUUGUUGAAAUACCUGGAAAGAAACUGGCAAAGACUAUCCAAGGGAUGCUAAGACAUGUCCGAACUUACAAAACAGUAGAACCUGAAUAGGAAUUUGAAGUUGUCUAUACUCUCCUCAGCCACACCCUGCCAUUUUACAGAUUGUCUUCUCUGGGGAAGUUAGCUGUCAUGUUGUGAGGAUACUCAAGCAGUUUAUAAAGAGGUUCAUGUCGCAAGGAAUGGAGGCCUCCUGCCAACAGCCAUGUAAAGGAGCCAUCUAGGAAAUAGAUUCUCCAGCCCCAGUCAGACCUUCAGAUGAUUACAGCCCCUACCAACCUUCUGACUGCGGUGGAAGGAAGGUUCCGGAACCAGAACCACCCAGGUUAAUGUGGGUAAGUCUCAUCCAAUCCUUUGAAGGCCUGAAGAACAAAGAGUGAGGUUUCUGGAAGAAGAAAAUUUUACCUCAAGCCUGCAAUGUAGAAAUUCUGCUUGAGUUUCCCGCCUGCUGGCCUGCCCUGUGGAAUUCGGAGUCAAGAAGGAGUCUUGUAAGCAUUAACUGAGAUAGUAUAUGAAGAGUGCUUUUGCACCGAGUGAACCUUCAAUCAACUGUACUAGUUUGUAUGCCUGGAAGAGCUGCUAUAUGGGAUCAGAAAGAAAAAUAAGGUGCAUACGCCAGAAAAAAAAUACUUGCAUAUGAGUACUAGGAGAUGCAUGACAAUGUUCACGGCAGCAGUAUUCAUGGCAGUGAAAAAUGAAAAGAACUGAAAUGCCCAUUGAUAAAAACGUCUACUUAUUUGUGUCAUCUUUGCACAGUGGAAUUGUGCGAGUGGAAAUGAUUGAUCUACAGCUAGGAGAAGCAGCAGAGCUCAAUCUCAAAAACAUAACGUUGUGUGGAAAAAGCUAACCUCAGAACACUUUGCGGCUCUAUCUUAGCAAACCAGGAGAGAAAUUCUCCUGAUGGCCUUGAAGAAGCAAACAGCCACCUGGUUAAGCCCCUGUGGAUAGUGCCAAGUGGCAGGAAAGUGGGAGCCACCUCUAGGACCUGAGGAUUAAAGUCAGUAAGAGCUGGGACCUCACUCAUGCAGACUCGAGGACAUGAAUUCGACCAACAACUUGAAUGAGCUUGGAAGUGGAUUCUUCCCUAGUCCAGUCUUCAGAAAUUAAGAAUGUUCCCAAAGAAUGAUGGAGACAUUUCAAAAGGAUACGGAAGCCAGAUUGUGGGCGCUUCUACUGGCCAACUCUGGGACAUCGUGGACAUCAAAAUAAAUUUGUAAUAAUAAAGGAUUAUAGCCUAUUAGUUAAAUCAGAAAAAUCUGAUUUAACUAAAUGAGUAGGAGGAAAAGAAAGCUCUUCCUUAUAUUAGAAAGUCAAUUAAUAAAUGCAGAAAGGAAUGAAAAAAUUAGAAAAGCCACCAUUUGGCAACCAUGGCAGGCAGAAUGGGGAGUAUGCCUCCAGACAGUAAUUCCUUUCAAACUGGUUUAUAGGAACUCACUGAGCUUGCUGAUCGACCUCUGAGAGGCAAAGUUUCUGAAUUAUGAAGUACUGAUUAUAUAAACUUAGACAGAGACAUGCUUCAUUAUUUAAUAGGACUGUGUCAAAAGCCUACUAUUAGGAUGAUGUGUUGGGUGUGGAACAGGGUCUCUUCCUGCCAGGAACACUGGUGAUUUCACUCCGUGUUCAGGCUGAUCUUUGAAGUUGAAGACAAGCAGAAGAAUCCUUCUAAAAUUUAGCCAUGCCCAUAGGCUGGGAGGGACACUGCUCCAUUCAGAGGCAGCAAAGCACAUUACUGUAUCUCCUAUAGAGCUUUGAGCAGUCCAGUGUACAUGGAGAAACUUAGUAAAUGUUGUUGAAUUAGUGAAUGAACAAAUCAAUGGACCAAGUCAGGGGUAAGUCUUACAUUUGUCAUCUAGGUGAUUAAGAAAGGAAAAAGUAUCUGUUUCAAGAGGAUUACAAUCUAACUGUACUCCAAUAGUAAAAUUUACUCUUUUGGAAUCUGAAGACA
Molecule: long non-coding RNA, 5149 nt
Filed under: Homo sapiens (human)
Lineage: Eukaryota; Metazoa; Chordata; Mammalia; Primates; Hominidae
Description: disrupted in renal carcinoma 3, transcript variant 2 (DIRC3)
Source: RNAcentral